This 234-nucleotide ribosomal RNA is filed under the name uncultured Bacillus sp. RNAcentral's name for it is "partial 16S ribosomal RNA". It matches the Rfam family "Bacterial small subunit ribosomal RNA", at positions 107 to 334 of the family's 1533-position model. The record is from RNAcentral. Lineage: Bacteria; Bacillati; Bacillota; Bacilli; Caryophanales; Bacillaceae.
UGAGUAACACGUGGGUAACCUGCCCAUAAGACUGGGAUAACUCCGGGAAACCGGGGCUAAUACCGGAUAACAUUUUGAACUGCAUGGUUCGAAAUUGAAAGGCGGCUUCGGCUGUCACUUAUGGAUGGACCCGCGUCGCAUUAGCUAGUUGGUGAGGUAACGGCUCACCAAGGCAACGAUGCGUAGCCGACCUGAGAGGGUGAUCGGCCACACUGGGACUGAGACACGGCCCAG